UGGACAGAUUAUUGUAUUCGACUGUAUUCACGGUGUGAAACAGGGGAUUACACUGUUUUUAAACGGAAAGUGAAUCAAUUAACAUAAUAAGCUCCU
This is a microRNA precursor of Nicotiana attenuata, 96 nucleotides long. It matches the Rfam family "MIR6152 microRNA precursor family". The record is from Rfam. NCBI's taxonomy places the organism in Eukaryota, Viridiplantae, Streptophyta, Magnoliopsida, Solanales, Solanaceae.